GCUGCAGCGAGCAGACGCCCCCACACCCCCGCAGACCUGCGCGCUGCAUCUGCACCCACCGCUCCGGGCAGCCUCUUGGAGAAAGAAAAAUACCAGCAACCCAGCCAUAAAGAUCAACAGAUGUCAAGGCAGGGGGCAGGGGGCGAUAGAAAACAGCCGCAAAACCAGGGGACAGUGUGACGCAUCUCUCCACUUGGCACAAAGGGACAUCUUGGCCGGAGGGCAGGAGGCGAGACAAAGGGGAAGCCAAUCUACCUGCCGUGACCUUGACUGUGACAUUGUCAGAAAGUGCUUUGAAAGAGGGAUUGCAGGCCGCAGUUUGUGCAUCCAUUCCUCUCGCAACGAGCUUGUGCAGGGCGGGCACUAAUGCAGCCAGCAAAAGCUACAGACGACACUGCAAGUAAGCGAAGCAGAAGAAGGAGAAUGAUGUAAGCUGCUGAGUUCUUAAAAGAAAAAGGCGGGCUAUAAAUCUAAUAAAUAAAUUAAAAAACAAA
Varanus komodoensis (Komodo dragon) is the source of this 494-nucleotide long non-coding RNA. RefSeq lists it as uncharacterized. The record is from RefSeq and is a predicted model, not a curated record. The transcript is spliced from 2 exons. NCBI's taxonomy places the organism in Eukaryota, Metazoa, Chordata, Lepidosauria, Squamata, Varanidae.